UGCCUGAUGGAGGGGGAUAACUACUGGAAACGGUGGCUAAUACCGCAUAAUGUCGCAAGACCAAAGUGGGGGACCUUCGGGCCUCAUGCCAUCAGAUGUGCCCAGAUGGGAUUAGCUAGUAGGUGGGGUAACGGCUCACCUAGGCGACGAUCCCUAGCUGGUCUGAGAGGAUGACCAGCCACACUGGAACUGAGACACGGUCCAGACUCCUACGGGAGGCAGCAGUGGGGAAUAUUGCACAAUGGGCGCAAGCCUGAUGCAGCCAUGCCGCGUGUGUGAAGAAGGCCUUCGGGUUGUAAAGCACUUUCAGCGGGGAGGAAGGCGUUAAGGUUAAUAACCUUGGCGAUUGACGUUACCCGCAGAAGAAGCACCGGCUAACUCCGUGCCAGCAGCCGCGGUAAUACGGAGGGUGCAAGCGUUAAUCGGAAUUACUGGGCGUAAAGCGCACGCAGGCGGUCUGUCAAGUCGGAUGUGAAAUCCCCGGGCUCAACCUGGGAACUGCAUUCGAAACUGGCAGGCUAGAGUCUUGUAGAGGGGGGUAGAAUUCCAGGUGUAGCGGUGAAAUGCGUAGAGAUCUGGAGGAAUACCGGUGGCGAAGGCGGCCCCCUGGACAAAGACUGACGCUCAGGUGCGAAAGCGUGGGGAGCAAACAGGAUUAGAUACCCUGGUAGUCCACGCCGUAAACGAUGUCGAUUUGGAGGUUGUGCCCUUGAGGCGUGGCUUCCGGAGCUAACGCGUUAAAUCGACCGCCUGGGGAGUACGGCCGCAAGGUUAAAACUCAAAUGAAUUGACGGGGGCCCGCACAAGCGGUGGAGCAUGUGGUUUAAUUCGAUGCAACGCGAAGAACCUUACCUGGUCUUGACAUCCACAGAACUUAGCAGAGAUGCUUUGGUGCCUUCGGGAACUGUGAGACAGGUGCUGCAUGGCUGUCGUCAGCUCGUGUUGUGAAAUGUUGGGUUAAGUCCCGCAACGAGCGCAACCCUUAUCCUUUGUUGCCAGCGGUUAGGCCGGGAACUCAAAGGAGACUGCCAGUGAUAAACUGGAGGAAGGUGGGGAUGACGUCAAGUCAUCAUGGCCCUUACGACCAGGGCUACACACGUGCUACAAUGGCAUAUACAAAGAGAAGCGACCUCGCGAGAGCAAGCGGACCUCAUAAAGUAUGUCGUAGUCCGGAUUGGAGUCUGCAACUCGACUCCAUGAAGUCGGAAUCGCUAGUAAUCGUAGAUCAGAAUGCUACGGUGAAUACGUUCCCGGGCCUUGUACACACCGCCCGUCACACCAUGGGAGUGGGUUGCAAAAGAAGUAGGUAGCUUAACCUUCGGGAGGGCGCUUACCACUUUGUGAUUCAUGACUGGGGUGAAGUCGUAACAAGGUAACCGUAGGGGAACCUGCGGUUGGAUCACCUCCUUA
Molecule: ribosomal RNA, 1410 nt
Filed under: Klebsiella pneumoniae
Lineage: Bacteria; Pseudomonadati; Pseudomonadota; Gammaproteobacteria; Enterobacterales; Enterobacteriaceae
Description: bacterial SSU rRNA
Rfam family: Bacterial small subunit ribosomal RNA
Source: RNAcentral